Molecule: ribosomal RNA, 490 nt
Filed under: uncultured bacterium
Lineage: Bacteria
Description: partial 16S ribosomal RNA
Rfam family: Bacterial small subunit ribosomal RNA
Source: RNAcentral
AUUGAACGCUGGCGGCAGGCCUAACACAUGCAAGUCGAACGGUAACAGGAAGCAGCUUGCUGCUUUGCUGACGAGUGGCGGACGGGUGAGUAAUGUCUGGGAAACUGCCUGAUGGAGGGGGAUAACUACUGGAAACGGUAGCUAAUACCGCAUAACGUCGCAAGACCAAAGAGGGGGACCUUAGGGCCUCUUGCCAUCGGAUGUGCCCAGAUGGGAUUAGCUAGUAGGUGGGGUAACGGCUCACCUAGGCGACGAUCCCUAGCUGGUCUGAGAGGAUGACCAGCCACACUGGAACUGGGACACGGUCCAGACUCCUACGGGAGGCAGCAGUGGGGAAUAUUGCACAAUGGGCGCAAGCCUGAUGCAGCCAUGCCGCGUGUAUGAAGAAGGCCUUCGGGUUGUAAAGUACUUUCAGCGGGGAGGAAGGGAGUAAAGUUAAUACCUUUGCUCAUUGACGUUACCCGCAGAAGAAGCACCGGCUAACUCCGUG